CGAGUUAGUAGGUACUUGUAAUUAAUAAGUGAUUUUCACCAAGUAAUUAAUUUGAACACAAUCUCGGAACUAGCUUUGUAAUUGUUUAAUUGAGAAAGCAGAAGUGCUCCAUCAAAGAUGCGUCGCUCUCUUAUAAUACACCUAAUUUUGUGUUGUACUAUAGUUCAUUUCAGCAAUGGAUGCAGUAAAGAAUACAAACCACAGGUCGAUGAAGCUGUCUUGAUGGUCAGAACACUAGAAACAACUAUAAAAGACCUCAUGGACAUCAUACCCAACCAGAUCUACAAUAACGGAAAACUAGAGCACUGUCUGAAUCGACCUAAGAAAUUAAUGAAAAAACUUACAAGUAAGAAAUGUUCAAAAGAGGAGGAAAUGCUUCAGGACGAAUAUAAAACUUAUGGGAAAAAACCAUGGACGGUACACCCCUUUUAAAUACUUUGUUUUACAAGCAAAGCAAUUUCCAUUGGAGCGUUUGAUAUUAUUUGGAUACUUCGUGGGGUUUAGAAAAUACCAAAUAAAAAAAUUAUUUAAAAGUUGCCUUACUUUAUUUUGGUGUUUAAAAAAACAUUAAUAAAUAUUGAUAUAU
Molecule: long non-coding RNA, 586 nt
Organism: Cydia splendana
Lineage: Eukaryota; Metazoa; Arthropoda; Insecta; Lepidoptera; Tortricidae
Exons: 3
Source: RefSeq, a predicted model, not a curated record